RNAcentral lists this long non-coding RNA (1219 nucleotides) under Oryza sativa Indica Group (long-grained rice). RNAcentral describes it as "lncRNA OsZS97_11G021670". The record is from RNAcentral. Lineage: Eukaryota; Viridiplantae; Streptophyta; Magnoliopsida; Poales; Poaceae.
AUGUCGCUACUGUCGUCCUCGGCUACCGAGCUGUCCCAAUUCGCCGCCGACGCGCGGCUGCUCGUGUCGCCCGGGAACGGUGGGGGUGAAGGGGUGGUGGUAGGGGCGGAUGGGCUGAUCCCACGCUCCGGCGGCACGGUGUCCACCGUGGCCGCGAUGCUUGACUCGGGAGAGAUCCUGCCGGCGUCACGCGAGAAGGUCGUGUCCGUGCUCGCCGCGUUCGCGUCCUCGGACGCCACGGCCCACGUGCUGGUGGCGGGGGCCGUGGUGCCCCACCUCUGCCACGCGCUGGAGUCCGGCGGCGCCGACACCGAGCAGGCGUUCGUGGCGCUGCGCCCUCUCACCACGGACUCGCGGGACGCCGCAGCGGCCGUGGCCGCGCGUGGCGGGCUGGCCGCUCUCCUCGGCGCAGGCCGCGGCCGCGGGCGUGCUCCGCAACCUCGCCGCGUUCCCGGACCUCCUCCCGAUGUUCCGCGAGGAGGGCGUGCUCCCCUCGUCUCCCUCGGCACCCCGCGCGCGUUCGGCCUCCUCCGCAACAUGGCCUCCUUCCGCUACAUCGCCGAGAUAGCCGUCUCGGCCAGCUUCGUCGACCACGUCCUCGCCGCACUGAGCAGCGACAAGGCCGCCAUGCGCACGUUGGCCGCCAUGGCGCUCGCCGAACUCUGCAACGCCUCCAGCCACGGCCAGACACGCGGGGACGUCGGCGACGCCGUCCCGCGCCUCAUCUGGAUGCUCAAGGCCAAGGCAGGCAGGGACGUCGCCAAGAGGGACGCCGCGGCGAGGGCGCUUGCCGCACUCGUCGCAGCGAGCAGCUACAAAAAAUUUUCAAGAAAGAGGAGCAAGGCAUCAUCAAUGUCGUCCAGCUGCUCGACCCGAGCACCGCCCGCGGCGGCAUUGACGCGUGGUUCCCGGUGUCCGUGCUGCUCGCAGUCUCGCCGUCCCGGCCGCCCGUGGCAGCGUCGAUGCCGGAAGCAGAUAGUGGCCGCCGGCGCGUGCUGCUUCCUGCAGGGCCUCCUCGGCGCGGAGGUCGACGGCGCCAAGAGGCUCGCCGACUGUGUCCGUGCUGCUCGCCGUCUCACCGUCCCGGCGGUGUCGGAAGCAAAUGGUGGCCGCCGACGCGGCCUCCUCGCUGCGGAGGUCGACGACGCCAAGAAGCUCGCCAAAUGCGUCGCCAUAGGCAAUAUGCUCGGCGUGUUCCCGCGGUCUUGACACGGCCCCC